UGGGGAAUAUUGGACAAUGGGCGAAAGCCUGAUCCAGCAACGCCGCGUGAGCGAUGAAGGCCUUCGGGUCGUAAAGCUCUGUCAGAUGGAACGAAAGAAGCUAACCUAAUACGUUAGCUGUUGACGGUACCAUCAAAGGAAGCACCGGCUAACUCUGUGCCAGCAGCCGCGGUAAUACAGAGGGUGCUAGCGUUGUUCGGAAUUACUGGGCGUAAAGCGCACGUAGGCGGAUUGUUAAGUCAGAGGUGAAAUCCCGGAGCUCAACUUCGGAACUGCCUUUGAUACUGGCAAUCUAGAGUCCGGAAGAGGUUAGUGGAAUUCCCAGUGUAGAGGUGAAAUUCGUAGAUAUUGGGAAGAACACCAGUGGCGAAGGCGGCUAACUGGUCCGGUACUGACGCUGAGGUGCGAAAGCGUGGGGAGCAAACAGGAUUAGAUACCCGCGUAGUCCCUGAGCGGGCUGGCAAGGCGCAU
RNAcentral lists this ribosomal RNA (471 nucleotides) under uncultured bacterium. RNAcentral describes it as "bacterial SSU rRNA". It matches the Rfam family "Bacterial small subunit ribosomal RNA", at positions 355 to 825 of the family's 1533-position model. The record is from RNAcentral.